GGGCCUAUAGCUCAGCUGGUUAGAGCGCACGCCUGAUAAGCGUGAGGUCGAUGGUUCGAGUCCAUUUAGGCCCAU
Molecule: transfer RNA, 75 nt
Filed under: Enterococcus faecium E1636
Lineage: Bacteria; Bacillati; Bacillota; Bacilli; Lactobacillales; Enterococcaceae
Also listed under: 2 other names
Description: tRNA-Ile
Rfam family: tRNA
About the family: Transfer RNA (tRNA) molecules are approximately 80 nucleotides in length. Their secondary structure includes four short double-helical elements and three loops (D, anti-codon, and T loops).
Source: RNAcentral